AUAACUUAGGGUCAUAACAAGUAUAACUCCAGAUGCUUAAACACCUCAGUUGUCAGCAAUGUGUGUAUUUUCAUAUGUGUUUUUAAAAGCUCAGUUAUUGACUUCUUUCUACAGGUGUACAUGUGCAAAUUGCGCUGCAAUGCCAUCUGAACCAGAGAAUGUGUGCUGCAUGGAGAUACUGUACCACAGGUGUCAAGACGGAUGCAGGAACUUGAGCUCUCUGUGCCUUGUAUCGUGGACCAUCCUGGUUUGGAGCCUGUGUGCCUAAAUGUGUUCUCCCUGCAGAAUGCUUUCAAUAUAUACAGAGCUGAACAUGGGAGACUACAGAUGAGGCAAAUACAGCAGCGUCACAGGUAUCUAGCCUACAGAAGCUUUGUGAGCUGGUGCUGGGGCUUCCUUGGACGCAAGAUCAGAGUAGUCAUUCCGGCCUGCGUUGUCCU
Long non-coding RNA from Trematomus bernacchii (emerald rockcod), 440 nucleotides. RefSeq lists it as uncharacterized. The transcript has 3 exons. NCBI's taxonomy places the organism in Eukaryota, Metazoa, Chordata, Actinopteri, Perciformes, Nototheniidae. The record is from RefSeq and is a predicted model, not a curated record.